This 62-nucleotide transfer RNA is filed under the name Dipodomys ordii (Ord's kangaroo rat). It matches the Rfam family "tRNA", at positions 1 to 61 of the family's 71-position model. Rfam says of the family: Transfer RNA (tRNA) molecules are approximately 80 nucleotides in length. Their secondary structure includes four short double-helical elements and three loops (D, anti-codon, and T loops). Further hydrogen bonds mediate the characteristic L-shaped molecular structure. tRNAs have two regions of fundamental functional importance: the anti-codon, which is responsible for specific mRNA codon recognition, and the 3' end, to which the tRNAs corresponding amino acid is attached (by aminoacyl-tRNA synthetases). tRNAs cope with the degeneracy of the genetic code in two manners: having more than one tRNA (with a specific anti-codon) for a particular amino acid; and 'wobble' base-pairing, i.e. permitting non-standard base-pairing at the 3rd anti-codon position. Lineage: Eukaryota; Metazoa; Chordata; Mammalia; Rodentia; Heteromyidae. The record is from Rfam by way of RNAcentral.
GGGAAGGUGGCUCAGUGGUAGAGUGCUUGCCUUGCAUGCAUGAGGCCGUGCGUUCCAUUCCU